CCUACGGGUGGCAGCAGUGGGGAAUAUUGGGCAAUGGGCGCAAGCCUGACCCAGCAACGCCGCGUGAAGGAAGAAGGCUUUCGGGUUGUAAACUUCUUUGAAGAGGGAAGAGAAGAAGACGGUACCUCUUGAAUAAGCCACGGCUAACUACGUGCCAGCAGCCGCGGUAAUACGUAGGUGGCAAGCGUUGUACGGAUUUACUGAGUGUAAAGGGCGUGCAGCCGGGCUGACAAGUCAGAUGUGAAAUCCCGCGGCUCAACCGCGGAACUGCAUUUGGAACUGUCAGUCUUGAGUACCGGAGAGGUCAUCGGAAUGCCUUGUGUAGCGGUGAAAUGCGUAGAUAUAAGGAAGAACACCAGUGGCGAAGGCGGAUGACUGGACGGCAACUGACGGUGAGGCGCGAAAGCGUGGGGAGCAAACAGGAUGAGAUACCCUUGUAGUC
RNAcentral lists this ribosomal RNA (442 nucleotides) under uncultured bacterium. RNAcentral describes it as "partial 16S ribosomal RNA". It matches the Rfam family "Bacterial small subunit ribosomal RNA", at positions 338 to 795 of the family's 1533-position model. The record is from RNAcentral.